Molecule: transfer RNA, 72 nt
Filed under: Marmota monax (woodchuck)
Lineage: Eukaryota; Metazoa; Chordata; Mammalia; Rodentia; Sciuridae
Description: tRNA.Undet
Source: RNAcentral
GGGGUAGUGGCUCAGUGGUAGAGCGCGCUUGCUAGCAUGUGUGAGGUACUGGGUUCAAUUCUCAGCACCACA